This 455-nucleotide ribosomal RNA is filed under the name uncultured bacterium. Its description in RNAcentral is "partial 16S ribosomal RNA". It matches the Rfam family "Bacterial small subunit ribosomal RNA", at positions 857 to 1312 of the family's 1533-position model. The record is from RNAcentral.
GCAAUAAGCACUCCGCCUGGGGAGUACGACCGCAAGGUUGAAACUCAAAGGAAUUGACGGGGGCCCGCACAAGCGGUGGAGCAUGUGGUUUAAUUCGAAGCAACGCGAAGAACCUUACCAGGUCUUGACAUCCCGAUGCUAUUCUUAGAGAUAGGAAGUUACUUCGGUACAUCGGAGACAGGUGGUGCAUGGUUGUCGUCAGCUCGUGUCGUGAGAUGUUGGGUNNNNNNNNAAAANNNNNCGCAACCCUUAUUGUUAGUUGCCAUCAUUAAGUUGGGCACUCUAGCGAGACUGCCGGUAAUAAACCGGAGGAAGGUGGGGAUGACGUCAAAUCAUCAUGCCCCUUAUGACCUGGGCUACACACGUGCUACAAUGGUCGGUACAACGAGUUGCGAGCCGGUGACGGCAAGCUAAUCUCUUAAAGCCAAUCUCAGUUCGGAUUGUAGGCUGCAACU